GAAGAUGUGGCUCAGCAGUAGCUAAGAGCACUUACUGCUCUUGCAGAUGAUCUGGGUUCAAGUCCCAUCAUCCUCA
Molecule: transfer RNA, 76 nt
Filed under: Mus musculus (house mouse)
Lineage: Eukaryota; Metazoa; Chordata; Mammalia; Rodentia; Muridae
Rfam family: tRNA
About the family: Transfer RNA (tRNA) molecules are approximately 80 nucleotides in length. Their secondary structure includes four short double-helical elements and three loops (D, anti-codon, and T loops).
Source: Rfam by way of RNAcentral